GCCUGGAGUCCCUAGGCUCUGAAACUGGCUUCAGGCAAGAUGGUGGUCCCUGGUCCUGGCCUCUGGCUUGCCUGCUCAGCAGUCCAGCCGGGGGAGAGUCCAGGGCAGAGUCCUGUGGCUUAGGGCCUGGGAGAGGCCAGCAUGGGAACCUGGACUGUCCAGUGCCCGAGGGCUGUUGCUGUCAUCCCCAGGGAGAUGGGGACUGGUCCUGGGGGAAUGGAACAGGACCUCCCUUCCGCGUACCCCGAGUUGCCAUGUCAGCCUUGUUAAGUCACAGUCCGGGACCUGGACCAGGGCUCUCAGGACGGGCUCCUGGAGUGUCCAGGGGCUGCUGGGAGCUGGCUCAGGGGGGAGAGGACCACUUCUCUACCCCAUCCUGGCUCCCAUCCUGCCUCAGCCCAUGCCACAGGCCAGAGCCCUUGUUGCUGACUGUUCUGCGCCUGACGAUUGAGCAGAGCUGAGGACACACAAAAGACACAAACACAAAAGGAAAGCCACCCAGCGCAUGGACACAAAGCCAGACCCAGGGACCAAGCCACAGGCCAGUGUGUGCAGUGCCAUGGAUGCCAGGAGCAGGGAGCGGACCAGGACACCGAGGGGCUACAAGCUACAGUGAUGGUGCUAAAGAGCCAGAACUGGCCUAGACUUGGACUUCUCCUGGCUCUUCCUCUGGCCUCAGGAUGUCUUGGAAUCUGUACAACUGCCGUUCGCCAUUCACCAAUCUGCAUUGAAGCUCUGGGGACUUCCAGGCCUUGUGAAGUCGGGGCUUCAUGGAGGAGGUGAUACCUGAGCUUGGGAGUCAGAGAACAGGCAAAACUUCACCGAGUCACACACUUACAAAAAUAUUUUGCUUCCUUUAAGCCACUUGUUCCGGGCUGGAAUACAACAUUUGUGAAAUAAAUGAAGAUUAUGAUAAUCAUACCUACAUCCUGAGACUGUGGAGAGGAUUAAAUUAAUGUAUGUCUGGGGCUCAGAGCAGCAUCUGCCAACCACUACUACUCUUCACACCUUGUAUUUGGUACCUGCAG
Molecule: long non-coding RNA, 1028 nt
Filed under: Heterocephalus glaber (naked mole-rat)
Lineage: Eukaryota; Metazoa; Chordata; Mammalia; Rodentia; Bathyergidae
Description: lncRNA (ENSHGLG00100051558.1)
Source: RNAcentral